GACGAACGCUGGCGGCGUGCUUAACACAUGCAAGUCGAACGAAGAGCGAUGGAAGCUUGCUUCUAUCAAUCUUAGUGGCGAACGGGUGAGUAACGCGUAAUCAACCUGCCCCUCAGAGGGGGACAACAGUUGGAAACGACUGCUAAUACCGCAUACGAUCUAAUCUCGGCAUCGAGGAAAGAUGAAAGGUGGCCUCUAUUUAUAAGCUAUCACUGAAGGAGGGGAUUGCGUCUGAUUAGCUAGUUGGAGGGGUAACGGCCCACCAAGGCGAUGAUCAGUAGCCGGUCUGAGAGGAUGAACGGCCACAUUGGGACUGAGACACGGCCCAGACUCCUACGGGAGGCAGCAGUGGGGAAUCUUCCGCAAUGGACGAAAGUCUGACGGAGCAACGCCGCGUGAGUGAUGACGGCCUUCGGGUUGUAAAGCUCUGUUAAUCGGGACGAAAGGCCUUCUUGCGAACAGUUAGAAGGAUUGACGGUACCGGAAUAGAAAGCCACGGCUAACUACGUG
RNAcentral lists this ribosomal RNA (510 nucleotides) under uncultured bacterium. RNAcentral describes it as "partial 16S ribosomal RNA". It matches the Rfam family "Bacterial small subunit ribosomal RNA", at positions 28 to 507 of the family's 1533-position model. The record is from RNAcentral.